Non-coding RNA from Cricetulus griseus (Chinese hamster), 73 nucleotides. The record is from Rfam. Lineage: Eukaryota; Metazoa; Chordata; Mammalia; Rodentia; Cricetidae.
GGAAAGAUGGCUCAGUGGUUAAGAGCACUGGCUGCUCUUCCAGAGGUCCUGAGUUCAAUUCCCAGUAACUACA